RNAcentral lists this ribosomal RNA (501 nucleotides) under uncultured bacterium. RNAcentral's name for it is "partial 16S ribosomal RNA". It matches the Rfam family "Bacterial small subunit ribosomal RNA", at positions 30 to 526 of the family's 1533-position model. The record is from RNAcentral.
AUUGAACGCUGGCGGCAGGCUUAACACAUGCAAGUCGAGCGGGGGAAGGUAGCUUGCUACCGGACCUAGCGGCGGACGGGUGAGUAAUGCUUAGGAAUCUGCCUAUUAGUGGGGGACAACAUCUCGAAAGGGAUGCUAAUACCGCAUACGUCCUACGGGAGAAAGCAGGGGAUCUUCGGACCUUGCGCUAAUAGAUGAGCCUAAGUCAGAUUAGCUAGUUGGUGGGGUAAAGGCCUACCAAGGCGACGAUCUGUAGCGGGUCUGAGAGGAUGAUCCGCCACACUGGGACUGAGACACGGCCCAGACUCCUACGGGAGGCAGCAGUGGGGAAUAUUGGACAAUGGGGGGAACCCUGAUCCAGCCAUGCCGCGUGUGUGAAGAAGGCCUUAUGGUUGUAAAGCACUUUAAGCGAGGAGGAGGCUACUUUAGUUAAUACCUAGAGAUAGUGGACGUUACUCGCAGAAUAAGCACCGGCUAACUCUGUGCCAGCCGCCGUAAUAC